AGAGUUUGAUCAUGGCUCAGGAUGAACGCUGGCGGCGUGGAUAAGGCAUGCAAGUCGAACGGACUUUUCUUGUUCAAAGAUUGAGAUUACAUCAAGGUUGGAGAUUUUGAAAAGUUAGUGGCGAACGAGGUAGUAACACGUGGGUAUUUCCCCCUAAGUCGCGAAUAAUCCGGAGAAAUCCGGACUAAUACGCGAUGGUCUCGAAAGAGUAAAGAUUUAUCGCUUAGGGAAAAGCCUGCGGAGUAUCAGCUAGUUGGUAGUGUAAUGGACUACCAAGGCUAUGACGCUUAGGGGAGCUGAGAGGCUGACCCCCACCGAUGGGACUGAGACACGGCCCAUACACCUACGGGUGGCUGCAGUCAAGAACCUUCCACAAUGGACGAAAGUCUGAUGGAGCGACGCCGCGUGAUUGAUGAAGUCCCUCUGGGACGUAAAGAUCUUUUAUGAGGGAAGAAGUUUAUUGACGGUACCUCAUGAAUAAGGGGCUCCUAAUCUCGUGCCAGCAGGAGCGGUAAUACGAGAGCCCCGAGCGUUAUCCGGAAUUAUUGGGCGUAAAGGGUGUGUAGGUUGCGUUGUUAGUCGUCCGUUAAAUCUCUGGGCUUAACCCAGAAAUCGCGAACGAAACGGCAAUGCUAGAGAUUGUGAGAGGUUUGCGGAACUCAUGGUGUAGGGGUGAAAUCCGUUGAUAUCAUGGGGAACACCAAAAGCGAAGGCAGCAAACUGGCGCAAUUCUGACACUGAAACACGAAAGCGUGGGUAGCGAAUGGGAUUAGAUACCCUAGUAGUCC
RNAcentral lists this ribosomal RNA (788 nucleotides) under uncultured bacterium. RNAcentral describes it as "bacterial SSU rRNA". It matches the Rfam family "Bacterial small subunit ribosomal RNA", at positions 8 to 796 of the family's 1533-position model. The record is from RNAcentral.